This 308-nucleotide long non-coding RNA is filed under the name Linum usitatissimum (flax). RNAcentral describes it as "long non-coding RNA (LUSI_LNC006128)". Lineage: Eukaryota; Viridiplantae; Streptophyta; Magnoliopsida; Malpighiales; Linaceae. The record is from RNAcentral.
GAGGAGCUGCUGUUGAACGAUUCCUCGCGGAUUAGGGCUUCCGCCGAGGCUAAAACCGUCCAGGUUCUGGUCCCUAAGGUUGUGCCUCCUCCUGCUCCUGUUGUUCCUAGUGCUUCGAUCUCGGUUCCGGCUCCUAGUGCUUUGAUCUCGGUUCCGGUACCGGCUACUGCAUUGCCGCCACCACCUGUUGCUGUUGCUGCUGCUGCUGCUGCAGGAGGUGAUGGUGAUGGCGGAGAGGAUUCAGAGGCUUUGUCUGCCAAUGCGCACACCAAGCGUGUGGCGCUUCAGAAGAAGGCUGCUGCUACUAU